CACGUAGGGGCGAGCGUUGUCCGGAAUUAUUGGGCGUAAAGAGCGCGCAGGUGGUUGAUUAAGUCUGAUGUGAAAGCCCACGGCUUAACCGUGGAGGGUCAUUGGAAACUGGUCGACUUGAGUGCAGAAGAGGGAAGUGGAAUUCCAUGUGUAGCGGUGAAAUGCGUAGAGAUAUGGAGGAACACCAGUGGCGAAGGCGGCUUCCUGGUCUGUAACUGACACUGAGGCGCGAAAGCGUGGGGAGCAAACAGGAUUAGAUACCCU
RNAcentral lists this ribosomal RNA (264 nucleotides) under uncultured prokaryote. RNAcentral's name for it is "partial 16S ribosomal RNA". It matches the Rfam family "Bacterial small subunit ribosomal RNA", at positions 524 to 788 of the family's 1533-position model. The record is from RNAcentral.